GUGGCGGACGGGUGAGUAACACGUGAGAAUUUGCCUUUAGGAGGGGGAUAACAGAGUGAAAACGCUGCUAAUACCCCAUAUGCUUUCGAGUGAAAUGGAUUUAUUCGCCUAAAGAGAAGCUCGCGGCUGAUUAGCUUGUUGGUAAGGUAAUGGCUUACCAAGGCGACGAUCAGUAUCUGGUUUGAGAGGACGAUCAGACACACUGGAACUGAGACACGGUCCAGACUCCUACGGGAGGCAGCAGUGGGGAAUUUUCCGCAAUGGGCGAAAGCCUGACGGAGCAAUACCGCGUGAGGGAUGACUGCCUAUGGGUUGUAAACCUCUUUUCUCAGGGAGGAAAUCAAUGACGUUACCUGAGGAAUAAGCAUCGGCUAACUCCGUGCCAGCAGCCGCGGUAAGACGGAGGAUGCAAGUGUUAUCCGGAAUCACUGGGCGUAAAGCGUCUGUAGGUGGCUUAACAAGUCAACUGUUAAAUCUUGAAGCUCAACUUCGAAAUCGCA
This 500-nucleotide ribosomal RNA is filed under the name uncultured Arcocellulus. Its description in RNAcentral is "bacterial SSU rRNA". It matches the Rfam family "Bacterial small subunit ribosomal RNA", at positions 95 to 625 of the family's 1533-position model. The record is from RNAcentral. Lineage: Eukaryota; Bacillariophyta; Thalassiosirophyceae; Cymatosirales; Cymatosiraceae.